Molecule: transfer RNA, 84 nt
Filed under: Monodopsis sp. MarTras21
Lineage: Eukaryota; Eustigmatophyceae; Eustigmatales; Monodopsidaceae
Also listed under: 2 other names
Description: tRNA-Leu
Rfam family: tRNA
About the family: Transfer RNA (tRNA) molecules are approximately 80 nucleotides in length.
Source: RNAcentral
ACCAAAGUGGUGAAAUUGGCAGACACGCUAGGUUUAGGUUCUAGUUCUUUUCAAGGAGUAGGGGUUCAAGUCCCCUCUUUGGUA